Zalophus californianus (California sea lion) is the source of this 105-nucleotide small nuclear RNA. The record is from Ensembl. NCBI's taxonomy places the organism in Eukaryota, Metazoa, Chordata, Mammalia, Carnivora, Otariidae.
GCUCACUUUAGCAUCAACAUGCACUGAAAUUGGAAGGAUACAGAGAAGGUUGGCAUGGCCCAUGCUCAAGGAUGGCAUGCAAAUCGUGAAGCAUUUUAUACUUUC